AUGGGGCCUCCCUCAGCCCCUCCUCACAGAGUGCACAUCCCUGGCAGGCGCUUCUGCUCACAGUCCUAGCCUCACUUUUAACUUUCUGGAACUUGCCUACCACUGCCCAAGUCACUGUUGAAGCUGCAGAAGGCAAGGAGAUUCUUCCACUCACCCACAAUCUGCCUUAGGCUUGGCUACAACUGGUACAAAGGGGAAUUACAGGAUAUGUACUAGGAACUCAAGUAAUUACCCCAGGACCUGCCACAGAGGCUGAGAGACAAUAUACCCCAAUACAUGUCUGCUGAUACAGAAUGUCACCAACAAUGACACAGGAUCCUACACCCUACAAGUCAUAAAAACAGAUCUUGUGAAUGAAGAAGUAACUGGCCAGUUUCACCCGACCCCAUCUGAGUCAGCAACACCAGAGUCACAGAAGAAAAGGAUGUUGUGAUCCUGACCUGCCCCACAGAUGACUCUGGAACCUUAUCCAGUGGAUCUUCCAUGACCAGCGUCUGUGACUCAUGGAGAGAAUGGAGCUGUCCCAGGGCCACUGUAUGCUCAGCAUAAACCCCAUCAGGAGAGAGGAUGCUGGGGAGUAUCAGUGUGAGGCCUCCACCCAGGUCAGCUCCAGGAAAAAUGACCCUCUCAGACUGACU
This 638-nucleotide long non-coding RNA is filed under the name Homo sapiens (human). RNAcentral's name for it is "non-protein coding lnc-CEACAM21-4:1". Lineage: Eukaryota; Metazoa; Chordata; Mammalia; Primates; Hominidae. The record is from RNAcentral.